UACGAAGGGGGCUAGCGUUGCUCGGAAUCACUGGGCGUAAAGGGUGCGUAGGCGGGUCUUAAGUCAGGGGUGAAAUCCUGGAGCUCAACUCCAGAACUGCCUUUGAUACUGAGGAUCUUGAGUUCGGGAGAGGUGAGUGGAACUGCGAGUUGUAGAGGUGAAAUUCGUAGAUAUUCGCAAGAACACCAGUGGCGAAGGCGGCUCACUGGCCCGAUACUGACGCUGAGGCACGAAAGCGUGGGGAGCAAACAGG
This 253-nucleotide ribosomal RNA is filed under the name uncultured bacterium. RNAcentral describes it as "partial 16S ribosomal RNA". It matches the Rfam family "Bacterial small subunit ribosomal RNA", at positions 524 to 776 of the family's 1533-position model. The record is from RNAcentral.